This 87-nucleotide transfer RNA is filed under the name Bacteriophage sp. Its description in RNAcentral is "tRNA-Ser". It matches the Rfam family "tRNA". Rfam says of the family: Transfer RNA (tRNA) molecules are approximately 80 nucleotides in length. Their secondary structure includes four short double-helical elements and three loops (D, anti-codon, and T loops). The record is from RNAcentral.
GGCGGGCUAUCCAAGCGGUCAUAAGGACGGCGCCUUGAAAGCGUUUGUGGGCGAAAGCUCUCGUGGGUUCGAAUCCUACGCCCGCCG